RNAcentral lists this ribosomal RNA (497 nucleotides) under uncultured bacterium. Its description in RNAcentral is "partial 16S ribosomal RNA". It matches the Rfam family "Bacterial small subunit ribosomal RNA", at positions 28 to 507 of the family's 1533-position model. The record is from RNAcentral.
GAUGAACGCUGGCGGCGUGCCUAAUACAUGCGAGUCGAGCGAACAGAUGAGGAGCUUGCUCCUCUGACGUUAGCGGCGGACGGGUGAGUAACACGUGGAUAACCUACCUAUAAGUCUGGGAUAACUUCGGGAAACCGGAGCUAAUACCGGAUAAUAUAUUGAACCGCAUGGUUCAAUAGUGAAAGACGGCUUUGCUGUCACUUCUAGAUGGAUCCGCGCCGCAUUAGCUUGUUGGUAAGGUAACGGCUUACCAAGGCAACGAUGCGUAGCCGACCUGAGAGGGUGAUCGGCCACACUGGAACUGAGACACGGUCCAGACUCCUACGGGAGGCAGCAGUAGGGAAUCUUCCGCAAUGGGCGAAAGCCUGACGGAGCAACGCCGCGUGAGUGAUGAAGGUCUUCGGAUCGUAAAACUCUGUUAUUAGGGAAGAACAAAUGUGUAAGUAACUAUGCACGUCUUGACGGUACCUAAUCAGAAAGCCACGGCUAACUACGUG